This is a long non-coding RNA of Choloepus didactylus (southern two-toed sloth), 1301 nucleotides long. RefSeq lists it as uncharacterized. Lineage: Eukaryota; Metazoa; Chordata; Mammalia; Pilosa; Megalonychidae. The transcript is spliced from 3 exons. The record is from RefSeq and is a predicted model, not a curated record.
GCGGCGCGCGACAGAUGAGCGAAGCCUGAACUUCUCUUGGGGAGGUCCACUUCCCACACCCGAUGACUCUUCGAUGGGGCAAAAAAAUUCCUGGAAUGCUUCAGUGUCAAUACUAAGCUUUAUAAUCCGCUAUUGCCACAAGCUAACUAUCUGCUGCUGUGGAGGCCCCAAAACCACGCCGUCCUCGCGUUUCCCUCAGCUUUGGAGGAGGACCAGGUGUGAGAAGAACUCGGAAAAUUCAACAGGGUGAUUCCUUCCCGGGAAGGAACAUUCAAGAAAGUCUGGUCCCUGGGGCGGGGACUGAGGCUGCUGCAGCCCCAAAAGGCCGAGGAACAGGCGGAGGUGGGCAGAGGAGCACCGAAGAAAGGGACAGGAGGGCCGGGGGUCGCGAGGCGCAGAGCGAGCGGCCGAGUCUCCAGAGGAGAAAAGUGCCGAGACUGCUGUAGUGAACCGGAGAACCCCCCGCCCCAAGCCAUCCCAACAGAGCGGGGAGGGACCGGACCGCCACUACCGCCCGAGAGGAGCCACGUCUGCCCAAGGGCCUCAGCUUCAGUCCCCAAGGUCGGGGAAGCGUCUCACCUGGGAAGUGGGACAACGAGGCGGCGCGUUCUUCAGUCCCCUGUUGCCAGUGCUCGGGUCAGGUACCCACUCCCUUCCCUUAGCCCGCUGGCGGCGCAACUGGGCAGCAGAGGGAGCCAGUUAGCCCUUUUAUAACCUCCAGGCCGGGCUCGCUACGUGCGCUCGAUCACACCAGCGCCCCGCCGACUGCGCAGGCGCUAAGGCCGGCCUCCCCACCGCCGCCUCCAGCCGCGGCGCACACCAGCUCCCCAGCCAGCCCACGGAUUCUGAGGCGGAGACUGGCAGGCGAGCCUGGGAUGUAGGGCGCCUGCGCAGGGUUCUCGCCACGCCACCGUGGUAACCCUAGGUUUCCCCGCUCCCUUUCUUCAGAGGCGAAUGUAGUAAUUACGACUGACCUCUUAGACUGGAUAAGCAUUCUUGAGAUCAUGGGAAUUAUCUGAGGAAGAGGGACCCCAGCAAAGAAGAAAGGCCUUCUGUCAUUACCAUGGAAACUCAUAUCAAGAUGAAGUCUUCAUCAGUCCUAUUCCCUGUGUGCCUACAAAGAGCAGAGCUCCAAAUUCUCCCCUGCCUUGAUAAUCUGUAUUGGAUGUGUAGCUCGAAUGAAAAAUAAAUGUUAGUUAUGUUAAGGCACUUAAAGUUGGGGGUCAUUAAUAACUGCAGCAUUACCUAGAAUAUCUUAACCUGUAUAUUGGCUGAGCAAAUAAAAUCAAACUUUUCCUUUA